Molecule: ribosomal RNA, 402 nt
Filed under: uncultured prokaryote
Description: bacterial SSU rRNA
Rfam family: Bacterial small subunit ribosomal RNA
Source: RNAcentral
UGGGGAAUCUUGCACAAUGGGGGAAACCCUGAUGCAGCGACGCCGCGUGAGCGAUGAAGCCCUUCGGGGUGUAAAGCUCUUUCGGCAGGAACGAUAAUGACGGUACCUGCAGAAGAAGCUGCGGCUAACUACGUGCCAGCAGCCGCGGUAAUACGUAGGCAGCAAGCGUUGUUCGGAGUUACUGGGCGUAAGGAGUAUGUAGGCGGUUGCGUAAGUUCGGUGUGAAAUCUCCCGGCUUAACUGGGAGGGUGCGCCGAAAACUGCGUGGCUUGAGUGUGGGAGAGGAGAGCGGAAUUCCUGGUGUAGCGGUGAAAUGCGUAGAUAUCAGGAGGAACACCGGCGGUGUAGACGGCUCUCUGGACCAUUACUGACGCUGAGAUACGAAAGCGUGGGUAGCAAACA